UGGGGAAUAUUGGACAAUGGGGGCAACCCUGAUCCAGCAAUGCCGCGUGUGUGAAGAAGGCCUGCGGGUUGUAAAGCACUUUUGGCAGGGAUGAAAAGCACUGGAUUAAUAACCCAGUGUGUUGACCUAACCUGCAGAAGAAGCACCGGCUAACUCUGUGCCAGCAGCCGCGGUAAUACAGGGGGUGCGAGCGUUAAUCGGAAUUACUGGGCGUAAAGGGCGCGUAGGCGGCAUGACAAGUCACUUGUGAAAUCUCUGGGCUUAACCCAGAACGGCCAAGUGAUACUGUCGCGCUAGAGUGCAGAAGGGGCAAUCGGAAUUCUUGGUGUAGCGGUGAAAUGCGUAGAUAUCAAGAGGAACACCUGAGGUGAAGACGGGUUGCUGGGCUGACACUGACGCUGAGGCGCGAAAGCCAGGGGAGCAAACGGGAUUAGAUACCCCGGUAGUCCCUGAGCGGGCUGGCAAGGCGCAU
Molecule: ribosomal RNA, 472 nt
Filed under: uncultured bacterium
Lineage: Bacteria
Description: bacterial SSU rRNA
Rfam family: Bacterial small subunit ribosomal RNA
Source: RNAcentral